CAGCCGCCACGGUAAUACGAAGGGUGCAAGCGUUAAUCGGAAUUACUGGGCGUAAAGCGUGCGUAGGCGGUUUGUUAAGUCUGUUGUGAAAUCCCCGGGCUCAACCUGGGAAUGGCAAUGGAUACUGGCAAGCUAGAGUGUGUCAGAGGAUGGUGGAAUUCCCGGUGUAGCGGUGAAAUGCGUAGAGAUCGGGAGGAACAUCAGUGGCGAAGGCGGCCAUCUGGGACAACACUGACGCUGAGGCACGAAAGCGUGGGGAGCAAACAGGAUUAGAUACCCGUGUAGUCCCUGUCUCUUAUAA
RNAcentral lists this ribosomal RNA (301 nucleotides) under uncultured bacterium. RNAcentral's name for it is "partial 16S ribosomal RNA". It matches the Rfam family "Bacterial small subunit ribosomal RNA", at positions 509 to 809 of the family's 1533-position model. The record is from RNAcentral.